Non-coding RNA from Gossypium hirsutum (cotton), 145 nucleotides. NCBI's taxonomy places the organism in Eukaryota, Viridiplantae, Streptophyta, Magnoliopsida, Malvales, Malvaceae. The record is from Rfam.
UCUUAAAAUUUUCAUCCAUUUGUACUGUUAAAAAUUGGCGUGACUGACAGAAUAACUAGACAAUAAUAUGUGAUGUACCGCGUGUACCUCAUGCUGAUGUAAAGGAACCAAUUUUUAGCAAUAGAAAUGGGUGAAAUUUUUAAUA